RNAcentral lists this ribosomal RNA (460 nucleotides) under uncultured bacterium. RNAcentral describes it as "partial 16S ribosomal RNA". It matches the Rfam family "Bacterial small subunit ribosomal RNA", at positions 338 to 795 of the family's 1533-position model. The record is from RNAcentral.
CCUACGGGUGGCAGCAGUGAGGAAUAUUGGUCAAUGGGCGCGAGCCUGAACCAGCCAAGUAGCGUGAAGGAUGACUGCCCUACGGGUUGUAAACUUCUUUUAUAAAGGAAUAAAGUUAGGCACGUGUACUUUUUUGUAUGUACUUUAUGAAUAAGGAUCGACUAACUCCGUGCCAGCAGCCGCGGUAAUACGGAGGAUCCGAGCGUUAUCCGGAUUUAUUGGGUUUAAAGGGCGCGUAGAUGGGUUGUUAAGUCAGUUGUGAAAGUUUGCGGCUCAACCGUAAAAUUGCAAUUGAUACUGGCAGCCUUGAGUACAGUUGAGGUAGGCGGAAUUCGUGAUGUAGCGGUGAAAUGCUUAGAUAUCACGAAGAACUCCGAUUGCGAAGGCAGCCUACUAAACUGCAACUGACAUUGAUGCUCGAAAGUGUGGGUAGCAAACAGGAUUAGAUACCCUUGUAGUC